Cuculus canorus (common cuckoo) is the source of this 1574-nucleotide long non-coding RNA. RefSeq lists it as uncharacterized. The transcript is spliced from 4 exons. Lineage: Eukaryota; Metazoa; Chordata; Aves; Cuculiformes; Cuculidae. The record is from RefSeq and is a predicted model, not a curated record.
AGAAGUGCCACAUGCCCCUGCUGCGUGCAAUGUUUGAAGAUGUCGCAAAGUUAUUUUUCCUCUAACAUCUGUGAACUAUGACUAACAAAUAAAGAAUCAGAUGAGUACAGAACUGACUAUGCCAUCCUUCCUGCUGAUAAACUCGCUCUCUCUUACCCACACUGGCGGCAUGUGUGCUCUGGACAUUCAUGUCCUGACGGAUGUAAGAAAGCAGAUGGUGUGGCAAAAGCAGAUCAGAAUUAAAGACUGAGAGCUCAAUUCAUUCAGGCAGAAAAGGCAGCCUCUCCACUAACUCAAUCUACCAGCACAAGUUUUAAAGCAUAAUAGAAGAUUUUUUAUGCCUCCAGCACUGCACUGCACCCUUUUAUGACAGGAAUGAGAGUGCAGGUCCCACCCCAAACUAUUUACUGAUCCAGGAUAUUAGGAAGAACUAGGUUAAGAAGAGCCAAAACGUUCUGAAAUUCCACCCAAUCGUGCCUUUUAAUCUCAACUAAAAACUGCAAGAAGGAUCAAAGACCAGCUGACACUUGUUCUGGCACUAAGAAUAUUAUAAAUAAGGAUCCUGCUUUUGUGAGCUCCUGAGCACCUUUAAAUCUCUUUGACCCUGAUGAAAAGGAAGAAGAAAUUGUAAAUAUAACUGCCUGAAGAUUCUCUACCCAGUCCUUAUGUUCUUGUGUGACAGCAGUGAGAAAUGUCAGGAACUUGAGCAUCCUCAAGAUACCAUGACCUCUUCGGACUGUUCCAAUCAGACAUGGUUUUGCUGAAGCCAGCAUAAAUAUUUUUGGAGUGCAAAGUUAUGUUUUUCUUAAAUGACCAUUGGAAAAAAUGACCUUGUGAUAUGGGUGAAGUUCUAUUGAAUUUCUUAGAUGAUGAAUGAUGAUAUUAUAUUGUAUCCGAUUGCAUAGUUCCUGAAUAGGCACAAUUUGGCUACAGGAAGGGUAUUAGCUUGGAUAUUUGUUAACAUUUCCUUUUUGUAUUAUGAAAACAAAUAAUAUGCAGAUUGGCUGUGUUUGGUUUGCAUAAAAAGAUGUGGUUGGUUUUCUAUGAAAUGCUAUGUUCUAUGGUAAUUAAAGAAAUUUCCUUCUCCAUGGCUUAGCUUUAUGCAGUUUUCUAUUUACCUCAUUAGUGUAGAAAACCAAACAAAUGUCAUACCUACAUUUUUGACUGUAGGGCGGUAACAUGCUUUUGCAACUUGGAGUAUUUUUGUCUUUAGUUUAUUUAGUCUUCUUUUUUUAAUUGUUUGUUGUUAUUAUUAAUAUUGUUAUACAUUAUUUUUAUCUAAAAUGCUCAGAAUGGAACAACAGGCAGGACAAGUAAAUUAUGACUUCAGUUCUCUCUGCUUUUGACAUCUGCCUUCUGUGAAUCAAUGAUUUACAUAUAAAUGCAUUUAAAUAGCUGCUGUUUGAUUUUCUGUCGUCUAUUUCUGUUGGUGUGAACACUCAUGACCAUAUCAAACAAUGCCAAAAAUCUAAAUAAUUUUUUAAAAGUGUGAUUUUAAAAUGCCAAAAACAGAGACAAACAAAUCCUGGGGAAUUACUGUGUUAUUAGAUAAUAACAUCAUCCAGACAGAGUGA